Molecule: RNase P RNA, 345 nt
Filed under: Lysobacterales bacterium
Lineage: Bacteria; Pseudomonadati; Pseudomonadota; Gammaproteobacteria; Lysobacterales
Description: Xanthomonadales bacterium RNase P RNA component class A
Rfam family: Bacterial RNase P class A
About the family: Ribonuclease P (RNase P) is a ubiquitous endoribonuclease, found in archaea, bacteria and eukarya as well as chloroplasts and mitochondria.
Source: RNAcentral
GGAGUCGGCCGAGCAGCCGCUGGGGGUCAUACCCCGGAGGAAAGUCCGGGCUCCAUGGGCAGGGUGCCAGGUAACGCCUGGGGGGCGUGAGCCCACGGAAAGUGCCACAGAAAAUAUACCGCCGGCUGGCAACGGCCGGUAAGGGUGAAAAGGUGCGGUAAGAGCGCACCGCGCAGGUGGUAACACGCUGCGGCACGGUAAACCCCACCCAGAGCAAGACCGAAUAGGGGAGCGCUAAGUGUGCCCACACGAGCUCCCGGGUAGGUCGCUACAGGUGCGCGGCGACGCGCAUCGCAGAGGAAUGGCUGCUCUCGACAGAACCCGGCUUACAGGCCGACUCCCUUC